This 403-nucleotide long non-coding RNA is filed under the name Bubo bubo (Eurasian eagle-owl). RNAcentral's name for it is "lncRNA (ENSBOBG00000001263.1)". The record is from RNAcentral. Lineage: Eukaryota; Metazoa; Chordata; Aves; Strigiformes; Strigidae.
UAAAUAACUACAAUUCGGUGGUGGCAUAUGCAGUGUUUGCGAAACUGAAAAACUUCCUUAACGUAGCACGGCGUGAAAUUCAGCUUAAGAGAACACCAGCUCAGUAACUGUGCCAGAAACACUGUUGUUUGUUUCAACCCUUGAUGGAAGUUUGCAUGCUGUCAGCAAGAGGACAGGAGCAAUCAAGUGGACUUUAAAAGAAGACCUCUCCUUUCCCUGAACAGGCUUGAAUAAAAACAAGUAAGUUAUCAGCCUUCUCCUUUAUUGUUCCUAUAGGCUACUGCGGUGUUAAGAGAAGCUUACUGGUAUGAACAUACACUACAUAGUCCUAUCCUAGAAGGAUAUCAUAACUGACAUUUGUUUGCAGCCAGCCUUAGUAAGUGGCAAGAGGUUUUUUGAGGAA